This 253-nucleotide ribosomal RNA is filed under the name uncultured bacterium. RNAcentral describes it as "partial 16S ribosomal RNA". It matches the Rfam family "Bacterial small subunit ribosomal RNA", at positions 524 to 776 of the family's 1533-position model. The record is from RNAcentral.
UACGUAGGGUGCAAGCGUUGUCCGGAAUUAUUGGGCGUAAAGAGCUCGUAGGCGGUCUGUCGCGUCGGAUGUGAAAAUCCAGGGCUCAACCCUGGACCUGCAUUCGAUACGGGCAGACUAGAGUUCGGUAGGGGAGACUGGAAUUCCUGGUGUAGCGGUGAAAUGCGUAGAUAUCAGGAGGAACACCGGUGGCGAAGGCGGAUCUCUGGGCCAUUACUGACGCUGAGGAGCGAAAGCGUGGGGAGCGAACAGG